Molecule: non-coding RNA, 299 nt
Organism: Schizosaccharomyces pombe (fission yeast)
Lineage: Eukaryota; Fungi; Ascomycota; Schizosaccharomycetes; Schizosaccharomycetales; Schizosaccharomycetaceae
Source: the annotation of a GenBank genome assembly
GUUUACAUGACUAAAUAAAUCUGUUUACACUGCAGAUGGACAGAUCGUUGCUGCGGUAACGGUAAUUGUCAGUAAACAAAUGUCUGAAACCAUUUACGGAAACGUAAAUACCGUUGCAUAUGAGCGAAAAAUAAACAAGAUUAGCAUAGCUGGAAGAAGCAUUUUCUAUACCAAAUAAUAUUUAUGAUUUUCUGCUUUUUUCUAGUAUAAAAAAAUCCUACCUCUUCAGAGAUCUGGUGACUGUUAUUUUUCACUAAAACAAACAAGUGAUGUCACGUUUAAAAGCCCGUGAAUGUGAC